AUGGCUCAGCUAUACAGCCUACUGCACAUGUGGAGAUACAUACUACUGACAGUCACCGUGGCAUCAGGUGUGUUUGCAGCUACGAUUGGGCCAAGCAAGGAAGACACAAACAUUGUAAAGGAAGAAACUAAAACUGUAACUUUCACAUGUUCAUAUGAGUCAACCAGCACUUACAUUCUUCUGUACUGGUACAGACAGGAAAGGACAGGUAACAGAGCACCACAAUAUUUACUGCAUCAAGGUGCAAAGUCCUAUAAGGGUCAGAAGAGCACUCCUGCUGACAACCGGCUUGAGGCAACAAUAACAGAAAGCUCUACUGAACUUACCAUCAGGGGACUGCUGCUCACAGAUACAGCUCUGUACUACUGUGCUCUCAGAGUAGUUGGCCCAGUGAUACAAAGUCUCACACAAGCUGUACAAAAACUUUGA
This is a non-coding RNA of Electrophorus electricus (electric eel), 429 nucleotides long. The record is from the annotation of a RefSeq genome assembly. Lineage: Eukaryota; Metazoa; Chordata; Actinopteri; Gymnotiformes; Gymnotidae.